Molecule: ribosomal RNA, 433 nt
Filed under: uncultured bacterium
Lineage: Bacteria
Description: partial 16S ribosomal RNA
Rfam family: Bacterial small subunit ribosomal RNA
Source: RNAcentral
AACGGACGCUGGCGGCAUGCCUAACACAUGCAAGUCGAACGAAGGCUUCGGCCUUAGUGGCGCACGGGUGCGUAACGCGUGGGAAUCUGCCCUUUGCUUCGGAAUAACAGUUGGAAAUGACUGCUAAUACCGGAUGAUGUCGCAAGGCCAAAGAUUUAUCGGCAAAGGAUGAGCCCGCGUAGGAUUAGCUAGUUGGUGGGGUAAAGGCCUACCAAGGCGACGAUCCUUAGCUGGUCUGAGAGGAUGAUCAGCCACACUGGGACUGAGACACGGCCCAGACUCCUACGGGAGGCAGCAGUGGGGAAUAUUGGACAAUGGGCGAAAGCCUGAUCCAGCAAUGCCGCGUGAGUGAUGAAGGCCUUAGGGUUGUAAAGCUCUUUUACCCGGGAUGAUAAUGACAGUACCGGGAGAAUAAGCUCCGGCUAACUCCGUG